Molecule: ribosomal RNA, 253 nt
Filed under: uncultured bacterium
Lineage: Bacteria
Description: partial 16S ribosomal RNA
Rfam family: Bacterial small subunit ribosomal RNA
Source: RNAcentral
UACGUAGGCAGCGAGCGUUGUUCGGAGUUACUGGGCGUAAAGGGCGUGCAGGCGGUUUGUUAAGUGCAGGGUGAAAGCUCCCGGCUCAACUGGGAGAGGUCCUUGCAUACUGGCAAACUCGAGGGAGGCAGAGGAAAGUGGAAUUCCCGGUGUAGUGGUGAUAUGCGUAGAUAUCGGGAGGAACACCUGUGGCGAAGGCGGCUUUCUGGGCCUUACCUGACGCUGAGACGCGAAAGCGUGGGGAGCGAACCGG